Molecule: ribosomal RNA, 253 nt
Filed under: uncultured bacterium
Lineage: Bacteria
Description: partial 16S ribosomal RNA
Rfam family: Bacterial small subunit ribosomal RNA
Source: RNAcentral
UACAGAGGUCUCAAGCGUUGUUCGGAUUCAUUGGGCGUAAAGGGUGCGUAGGUGGCGCUGUAAGUCAGGUGUGAAAUUUCGGAGCUCAACUCCGAAACUGCAUUUGAUACUGCGGUGCUUGAGGACUGGAGAGGAGACUGGAAUUCACGGUGUAGCAGCGAAAUGCGUAGAUAUCGUGAGGAAGACCAGUGGCGAAGGCGGGUCUCUGGACAGUUCCUGACACUGAGGCACGAAGGCCAGGGGAGCAAACGGG